AAUACCCUAUUAUUUUAAAAGAAAUUUAGUUUACUUAAUUAGUAGUAGUUAAGGUCUUGAAAAUUAAAGAAUUUGGCGGUAUCUUAGUCUAUUCAGAGGAAUCUGUCCUAUAAUUGAUGAUCCACGAUUUUUAUUACCUAUUUUAUUAAUUUACAUAUCGUCGUAGUUUGAAUAUUUUUAAAAAAAGAUAAUAUUCAUAAUUUAUUUUUAUAUAAGAUAUCAGGUCAAGGUGUAGUUUAUGAAUAGGAAGAGAUGGAUUACAAUAAAAAUAUUUAUUAUGGAUUAAUUAAUGAAAAAUUUUUAUGAAAGUGGAUUUGAUAGUAAUUUUAUUUA
This 333-nucleotide ribosomal RNA is filed under the name Laparocerus cryptus. Its description in RNAcentral is "partial 12S ribosomal RNA". The record is from RNAcentral. Lineage: Eukaryota; Metazoa; Arthropoda; Insecta; Coleoptera; Curculionidae.